Molecule: ribosomal RNA, 433 nt
Filed under: uncultured bacterium
Lineage: Bacteria
Description: bacterial SSU rRNA
Rfam family: Bacterial small subunit ribosomal RNA
Source: RNAcentral
UGAGUAACGCGUAGAUAACCUGUCUUCAUGUCUGGAAUAAUACGCCGAAAGGGGUACUAAUACCGGAUAUUCUUUGCUUUUCAUAAGUUAUGCAAGCAAAGGUGGCCUCUGCAUAUGCUACUGCAUGAAGAGGGGUCUGCGUACCAUUAGCUAGUAGGUGGGGUAAUGGCCUACCUAGGCGACGAUGGUUAGCGGGUCUGAGAGGAUGAUCCGCCACACUGGCACUGGAACACGGGCCAGACUCCUACGGGAGGCAGCAGUGAGGAAUAUUGCGCAAUGGGGGAAACCCUGACGCAGCGACGCCGCGUGAGUGAAGGAAGGCCUUCGGGUCGUAAAGCUCUGUCAAGAGGAAAGAAGUGUACAAUGGCUAAUACCUGUUGUAUUUGACGGUACCUCUAAAGGAAGCACCGGCUAACUCCGUGCCAGCAGCCGC